Molecule: unclassified non-coding RNA, 1986 nt
Filed under: Gigantopelta aegis
Lineage: Eukaryota; Metazoa; Mollusca; Gastropoda; Neomphalida; Peltospiridae
Description: multiple epidermal growth factor-like domains protein 11, transcript variant X5
Source: RNAcentral
GUCUUUAGGAGGACUGCCACUACCAGGAGAUCCUGUGAGCGGUGUAGGAAGGAUGUAUUGUUCAGUAAAGGAUCUCGAGAGUGGCUGUCCUCAUGUAGACCAGGCACCAGAUUCAAGGAAUCAAUCAAUAUUUUGCGACAUGCCCAUUUGACUUUGCAUUUUGCUGAAACAUGAUUUUAUGUCAUCAUUCUUGCGUAGCCUGGAAGCAUUUGUAACAAACAGUUUAGUGUUUGUUUUGUUUAACGACACCACUUAAUCACAUUGAUGCAUUAAUCAAAGUCUAAUGAAUGUCUACGUUUUUCCAAUAGUAGCAAGGGAUCUUUUAUAUGCACCAUCCCAUACACAGGAUAGCACAUACCACGGCCUUUGAUAUACCAGUCGUGGUGCUCUGUCUGGAAAGAGAAAUAGCUCAAUGGUCCCACCGACGGAGAAUGAUCCCAGACCAAAGGUGUAUUAGUGAAUAUGACAAAAAGAAAGGUCUACCAUUGUGUAUAAUGAACAACAUCAUAUCUGCAGUUUCCCAUGACAAGCGAGUUGAUAUAUUUAACAACGUCAGUAGGCUCCAAUCAGUGCUGCCAAGUGUUCAGUUACCAGUGCGACUUCAAACGGUUCUGUGAUCUUCCGUUCGCUAAACUCGAAUCCACAGGAGCCUGCACACCAGGGACGUAUGGUUUGGACUGCAGCUACACCUGUCACUGUACUACUAACUGCAAUGGUGUCACAGGCUGUUCCGGCAGAUGUCAAAGAGGAUGGUCUGGACCCAAAUGCAAUAAGGAAAACAUAGCUUUGGAUAAAGGAACCAGCCAGAGUUCUUACUGGAAAACUCGGGUAAAAUCGUCACGUGCUGUAGAUGGGAGUCUCCAGACGCGUUUUGGUGACCAUUCGUGUAUCCACACAGCAAUUGGACGUCCGUUCACCUGGUGGCAGGUAGACCUGGGCAGUGAAUUAUACAUACACAAGUUAGCCAUUCAUUUAAGGACAGACUCCAAAAGUCGCAGAAAAGGCGUUACUGUGUACAGCUCAGUUGCUGAAAACCAAACAAACACUGGUCACCUGUGUGGUUCAACCACAUCAACCAGUCCAGAUGUGACGUGGAUGACAUGUGACGAUACAGCUAGAUACAUCACACUCUACCGAAAUGACAGCAGCAACAGAGACACGGCGAUGACCUUCUGUGAAGUCCAAGUAUUUGUCUGUGUUGCUGGCACUUUCGGUGAUGACUGCAGUCAGUUCUGUCACUGUCGAGAUGGACCGUGUAACUAUGUAACUGGAGAAUGUUCGGGAGGAUGUAAACCAAACUGGACUGGACAGACGUGCAGUGUCUGUGUUGCUGGCAGUUUCGGUGAUGACUGCAGUCAGUUAUGUCACUGUCGAGAUGGACCGUGUAACUAUGUAACUGGAGAAUGUUCGGGAGGAUGUAACCCAAACUGGACUGGACAGACGUGCAGUGUCUGUGUUGCUGGCACUUUCGGUGAUGACUGCAGUCAGUUCUGUCACUGUCGAGAUGGACCGUGUAACUGUGUAACUGGAGAAUGUUCGGGAGGAUGUAACCCAAACUGGACUGGACAGACGUGCAGUGAGUGUGAUUCUGAACAUUAUGGUCCUCUGUGCGAAAAACCUUGUUCCGACAGACACUGUGAUGAAUCACGUGGUAAAUCAUCAUGCAACAAAACGAGUGGACGGUGUGAUAACGGAUGCACAGCAGGAUGGAAUGAACCAGAUUGUACAAAGGGGUGUGAUGGCAAAUAUGGCCCAGUGCCAGACACUGUAAAGCUGAUGAUGCACAAUGCGAUCACGUGACUGGUUCAUGUGAUGGACCAUGUGAUGCUGGUUGGCAAGGAGUUACGUGCACAGAUAGUUGUGAUUCAAAGCAUUACGGUGUGAAUUGUGAAUCGUUGUGUGAAGACAGACACUGCAAUGGUGAACAACUCUGUCACCAUGAACUAGGAUAUUGUAAUGGCGGAUGUCUCACAGGGUGGACUGGAC